This 305-nucleotide ribosomal RNA is filed under the name uncultured bacterium. Its description in RNAcentral is "bacterial SSU rRNA". It matches the Rfam family "Bacterial small subunit ribosomal RNA", at positions 333 to 652 of the family's 1533-position model. The record is from RNAcentral.
GAUACCCUACGGGGCGCAGCAGUGGGGAAUAUUGCACAAUGGGCGAAAGCCUGAUGCAGCAACGCCGCGUGAAGGAAGAAGGGUUUCGGCUCGUAAACUUCUAUCAACAGGGACGAAAGAAAUGACGGUACCUGAAUAAAAAGCCCCGGCUAACUACGUGCCAGCAGCCGCGGUAAUACGUAGGGGGCAAGCGUUAUCCGGAUUUACUGGGUGUAAAGGGAGCGUAGACGGCAGCACAAGUCUGGAGUGAAAUCCCGGGGCUUAACCCCGGAACUGCUUUGGAAACUGUGAGGCUGGAGUGCAGG